RNAcentral lists this ribosomal RNA (460 nucleotides) under uncultured bacterium. Its description in RNAcentral is "partial 16S ribosomal RNA". It matches the Rfam family "Bacterial small subunit ribosomal RNA", at positions 338 to 795 of the family's 1533-position model. The record is from RNAcentral.
CCUACGGGUGGCAGCAGUGAGGAAUAUUGGUCAAUGGCCGCAGGGCUGCACCAGCCAAGUCGCGUGAGGGAUGACGGUCCUAUGGAUUGUAAACCUCUUUUGUCAGGGAGCAAAGGGCGCCACGUGUGGCGUUUUGCGAGUACCUGAAGAAAAAGCAUCGGCUAACUCCGUGCCAGCAGCCGCGGUAAUACGGAGGAUGCGAGCGUUAUCCGGAUUUAUUGGGUUUAAAGGGUGCGCAGGCGGAAUGUCAAGUCAGUUGUGAAAGUUUGCGGCUCAACCGUAAAAUUGCAGUUGAAACUGGCAGUCUUGAGUACAGUAGAGGUGGGCGGAAUUCGUGGUGUAGCGGUGAAAUGCUUAGAUAUCACGAAGAACUCCGAUUGCGAAGGCAGUUCACUGGACUGCAACUGACACUGAGGCUCGAAAGUGUGGGUAUCAAACAGGAUUAGAUACCCUAGUAGUC